AUCUCGUGAUUAGGGCAUCUAUGUAGUAACUCUGUGAAUCUUUCCCACGCCUCGUAUAAGGACUCAUCAUCCAAUUGUUGAAAACUGGUGAUCCCAUUCCGCAAUU
This is a non-coding RNA of Gossypium raimondii (Peruvian cotton), 106 nucleotides long. Lineage: Eukaryota; Viridiplantae; Streptophyta; Magnoliopsida; Malvales; Malvaceae. The record is from Rfam.